ACACGACUACAUUAGAUACCCGAGUAGUCCUAGCCGUAAACGAUACUCGCUAGGUGUCGGCCACGGUGCGACCGUUGUCGGUGCCGUAGGGAAGCCGUGAAGCGAGCCACCUGGGAAGUACGGCCGCAAGGCUGAAACUUAAAGGAAUUGGCGGGGGAGCACAACAACGGGUGGAGCUUGCGGUUUAAUUGGAUUCAACGCCGGAAAUCUUACCGGGACCGACAGCAACAUGAAGGCCAAGCUGAAGACUUUGCCGGAUUAGCUG
Molecule: ribosomal RNA, 265 nt
Filed under: uncultured archaeon
Lineage: Archaea
Description: partial 16S ribosomal RNA
Rfam family: Archaeal small subunit ribosomal RNA
Source: RNAcentral